GUCUCUGUAGUGCAAUUGUUAGAGCAUUUGGCUGCUCACCCAAAGGUUGGUGGUUCAAACCCACCCAGGGGUG
This 73-nucleotide transfer RNA is filed under the name Sphaerodactylus townsendi. RNAcentral's name for it is "tRNA-Ser". It matches the Rfam family "tRNA". Rfam says of the family: Transfer RNA (tRNA) molecules are approximately 80 nucleotides in length. The record is from RNAcentral. Lineage: Eukaryota; Metazoa; Chordata; Lepidosauria; Squamata; Sphaerodactylidae.